CUUGAUCCACUUGGCUACAUCCGCCCCUACCCCCGCACAGGUUUCAGUCCUUAUCUAUGAUCAGAUCCUUUCUGAACCCCCGUCAAUAAGAUAUAUGAAUAGUAUAGUUCAUAUAUAACUAGUAAAUAUCACAUAUACAUGGCUUUCUUCCAUAACGUAAACAAAAAAUGCACAUCUUAUAUUCAAACCCGAUUCUAGAAGAAUUCUGUUGUUAGGAGGCCCCGGGGCAUGAGUUGAUGUCUAGAGAACUCUUCUUAUAGGACCGGACUAGGGAACAACCAUCCCACACCGGGGGAACGG
Molecule: long non-coding RNA, 300 nt
Filed under: Aquilegia coerulea
Lineage: Eukaryota; Viridiplantae; Streptophyta; Magnoliopsida; Ranunculales; Ranunculaceae
Description: long non-coding RNA (ACOE_LNC000284)
Source: RNAcentral